GGUGGUUUGUCGCGUUGUUCGUGAAAACCGGGGGCUUAACUCUCGGCGUGCGGGCGAUACGGGCAGACUGGAGUACUGCAGGGGAGACUGGAAUUCCUGGUGUAGCGGUGGAAUGCGCAGAUAUCAGGAGGAACACCGGUGGCGAAGGCGGGUCUCUGGGCAGUAACUGACGCUGAGGAGCGAAAGGUGGGGAGCGAACAGGAUUAGAUACCCUGGUAGUCCACGCCGUAAACGGUGGGUACUAGGUGUGGGUUUCCUUCCUUGGGAUCCGUGCCGUAGCUAACGCAUUAAGUACCCCGCCUGGGGAGUACGGCCGCAAGGCUAAAACUCAAAGGAAUUGACGGGGGCCCGCACAAGCGGCGGAGCAUGUGGAUUAAUUCGAUGCAACGCGAAGAACCUUACCUGGGUUUGACAUGCACAGGACGCCGGCAGAGAUGUCGGUUCCCUUGUGGCCUGUGUGCAGGUGGUG
This 469-nucleotide ribosomal RNA is filed under the name Mycobacterium sp. Its description in RNAcentral is "bacterial SSU rRNA". It matches the Rfam family "Bacterial small subunit ribosomal RNA", at positions 574 to 1043 of the family's 1533-position model. The record is from RNAcentral. Lineage: Bacteria; Bacillati; Actinomycetota; Actinomycetes; Mycobacteriales; Mycobacteriaceae.